RNAcentral lists this ribosomal RNA (330 nucleotides) under uncultured eukaryote. RNAcentral describes it as "partial 18S ribosomal RNA". It matches the Rfam family "Eukaryotic small subunit ribosomal RNA", at positions 1469 to 1796 of the family's 1831-position model. The record is from RNAcentral.
UCCCUUAGAUGUUCUGGGCCGCACGCGCGCUACACUGACGGAGGCAGCGAGCGUGUCCUUCGCCGGCAGGUGCGGGCAAUCUUGCGAGUCUCCGUCGUGCUGGGGAUAGAUGGUUGCAAUUGUCGAUCUUGAACGAGGAAUUCCUAGUAAGCGCGAGUCAUCAGCUCGCGCUGAUUACGUCCCUGCCCUUUGUACACACCGCCCGUCGCUACUACAGAGUGCCCGUGUCCAAGAAACGGUCGGACCUGUGCGGCCUCUCCGGGCGACCGGAGGGCCGUUACGGGGAAGACCCUUUAUUUGACGCGGGUCGAUGAAGUAAAAGUCGUAACA